Molecule: non-coding RNA, 102 nt
Organism: Eucalyptus grandis
Lineage: Eukaryota; Viridiplantae; Streptophyta; Magnoliopsida; Myrtales; Myrtaceae
Source: Rfam
GGUUCGUGACGAUGUUGGAAUGGCUCAAUCAUAUCAAAUCUCCCAAGUGUCGAAAUGGGUCCUUUAAUCUGAUUGAGCCGUGCCAAUAUCUUCACUUAUUUU